GCUGCGCGCGGCGCGGCGCGGCGCGGCGGGGAGGGGCCCGGCCCGGCCCGGCCGGGGCGGCGGCGCCGGAGCCCUGGGGCGGCGCGGGGGCUCCGGCUCGGCCGCUCCGCGCCCUGCGCUGCGCUGCGGUGGGCCCGGGUCGGGCAGUGCGGCCGAGCCCGCCUGGGUCGGGCCGGGCGCCGGGGGACCCCUGGUCAGCGGCGAGCUGGGGUUCGCCUCGGGCUCAUCGGGGGUUUUCCUUCGCUCCGUUUCCUCGGGAGGGCUCGGGCAGGCCGGGAAGGAGGGCGGGAACGUGCCCGCGGUCCGGGCAGGCGGAGGAAGAUCCGUCUCCGAGCAGGCACGUGCUGCUGCGGCGUUGCCCGAAAUGCUCCCGGGCUGGAAACCCUCCGAGCUGGCCCUGACCCACCCGGCUGGCAUCUGCUCGAGGGCAGGAAGGCUCUGCAGAGGGACCUGGACAGGCUGGAUCGACGGGCCGAGGCCGACUGGACGAGGUUUAACAAGGGCAAGUGCCGGGUCCUGCCCUUGGGUCACACCAGCCCCAGGCAAGGCUCCAGGCUUGGGGCAGAGCGGCUGGAACGUGCCCGGCGGAGAAGGCCCUGGGGGUCAUGCCGUGAAAGGGCGCACUAAGAAAACCUGAUGCCCUGAGCACGUUACUUCUGGAGAAACGCUUGGCCUCUGCAGCUCUGUGUGGGACACUGAAAGGCAGUUGUGGACGCAGUCUGUUGGAGUCUUUGAGGGCAAGCAGUGUUUCCUGGGGCAGACAGCAGUGGAUCUCGUGGGAUGGCUGCACCGAACGGAGAUGGACGAAGUUCUGGCAUUCCUCAAACCCUGACAGCGCGAAUGUGGUGGAAUAAGUGCCGGCGCAGGUCCUGAUCCUCGUCUUCUGUCGACCCUCAGCACGUCCAGCGUCCCGUUUUCGGAAGAAAGUGUGUUGGAUUUCAAACCCUUGGGCAGGACAGGAGGAGGCGGCCUUCUCGGGUCAGUGAUGAGUGUUGGCAUGUAUUAUCUGAUCUAAAGGUGAUGUCUGUCACCACUUUAGCUCUAGAAUUACUCUGAGACCUGGGAAACUCCAGUUUCCUUAGACUGUGACCGUGGCGCUUUUUCAACCUGGAGUCAAAUGCCUGUCACGUUCUAAGGCAGCGUAAGGAGAAGGGGGCGCAAUCUGAGCUUCCUUCCGUUUACGCGCUAGGGAGGUGACAUGAGCUAGGAGUAAAAACAUAAAGCCAGCUGGGGCCCAAGACCAGCGCUGUUGUGUUCAUAUGACAUUGUGUCCCUGGAGCGUACUGGCUCACGUCAGUGCUACCUCAGAAAUCUUUGUAUUCGCUACUCAGACCUCGAUUUUUCCUCACUGUGCAGUUUGCGUCUAAUCGUAGAAUGCCCUGAGCUGGAAGAGACCCACAAGGACCGUCAAGUCCAGCUCCCGUCCCGGCACAGGACAAGCCCAAAUUCACACCGUGCCUCUGAGGGCGUUGUCCAAGUGCUGCUUGAAUAUCGCCAGGCUGGUGCCGUGACGGCCUCCCUGGGGACCCUGUUCCAGGGCUCCACCACCCUCUGGGGGAAGAACCAGUUCUUCUCCUUAACUAUACACUUUAUUGCCCAGUUCUCUGCGGCUUCUGAGGUGGGAUGUUUGCUUUGAUCAGUCUCUCAGCUCUCCUCAAGGAAAUAGUGGUAAAACAAGUGCUUCUCUAUCUCUCAGUUCCCGACUCUGGCCAUCAAAUUCUGUUUUGCCGAGCUCACGUAGUUCGUUCUUGUGGCUCAGCGGAGAAUUCCAAAAGGAGCAUUUUCUUCAGGAUAUCACUGCAUUGAUGUUAAGGAGUUUUGUUCCUGAUUUCGGUGACACGGCGGCAGCCGGGCAGAUGGCAGGCCCGGGUUGCGGGUCGAGCAACAAGCCUUGGGCCAGCUCUUCGGGGCUCCCAGGCUUCGGAGCUCCUCCCUUACUGUCCCGGUAGUGGGGCCGGAGGGGCGGAGGGAACAAUUUGGCCUAGCACCUUCCCGGCACCCAGGCUGUUGCCGAGUUUCUGUCGAACGGGUGUCGAGAGCCUGUGUGACUGGCCUGUCGGAAACCCCGUUCCUCCGCCCGUGCGCGUCCCCGUUCUAGAUCUCGCUGCUCUCUGUUGGGGGUCCUUCUGUGUCACAUUGGUUACUGUCGACGGGGAAGUUCUGAGCGUUUCGCCCCUCGUUAUUCUGUUCUGCCCUUGCCAAUUUGAGCUCCCUGACCCGUGUUCCCUUCUGACGGACCACCGCCUCUGGGCUUCCCAGAAAGGCUGUCUGGUUCCGCAGCCCUUGGGGUGCUGCCGUCAUGGGCUCCACCAUCUAACGCUAAGGCCAGGCUCUUCGCUCCCACAGGCGCUGCAUUUUGCAAGCCUUUGUUAUUCC
Molecule: non-coding RNA, 2376 nt
Organism: Phalacrocorax carbo (great cormorant)
Lineage: Eukaryota; Metazoa; Chordata; Aves; Suliformes; Phalacrocoracidae
Source: RefSeq, a predicted model, not a curated record